This is a non-coding RNA of Camellia sinensis, 380 nucleotides long. NCBI's taxonomy places the organism in Eukaryota, Viridiplantae, Streptophyta, Magnoliopsida, Ericales, Theaceae. The record is from RefSeq and is a predicted model, not a curated record.
AUGCAGAAUAUUGGAAUUGAGCAAAGGUGCAAAGGUGCAGAAAUUGAGGAUUUGGUGGUGGCUUUACUUGGCCUCUGCAAUCUUCUAACGAAGGAAGGAAAAGCUAUGGAUGCUGAAAAUCCCUUUAUUAGAUUUCUUGACAUAUAUGCAAAGUUGUACGGGAGAAUAAUGGAAGAGUUUUUGAAUGGCUAUGUGUUUGUUGGCCCAUGUGAAAUGUGCAUAAGGGAAUGCUAAUGAAGGCAGUCAAUUAUAUAGAAAUGCUCUUCAGGUCCUUACAGAUUCAAAAUGUAUGCCUUUGGAUGACAACGUAAUGGAAAAGAUGAUAGAUUUACCAGAAUUGCUGCAUUUAGUGGGAAGGUUACCUGGAGAGAUGCAUAGGG